RNAcentral lists this ribosomal RNA (839 nucleotides) under Edwardsiidae sp. CUR. RNAcentral describes it as "partial 12S ribosomal RNA". It matches the Rfam family "Bacterial small subunit ribosomal RNA", at positions 331 to 1484 of the family's 1533-position model. The record is from RNAcentral. Lineage: Eukaryota; Metazoa; Cnidaria; Anthozoa; Actiniaria; Edwardsiidae.
GAAGACUCACAUAGAGGCAGCAGUAGAGAAUCUUGUGCAAUAUACGAAAAGUAUGACACAGAGAGCACAUAUUUAAGCCCGUCAAAUUAAGUGCCAGCCGACGCGGUUAGACUUAAGGGCUUGUCUUUAUAGGUAAAAAGGCGUAAAGGAUGUGUAGGCCGUACAUUUACCUUCAGGUACUGAGGGAAUUUUAUUAAGAGGGUAGGUGGAAUUUUUCUGGAGCGGUAGAAUGCGAGGAUAGAAAAUAGAACUCCAAAGGUUAAAACAACCUACCACAACAUAGGCUGAAACAUGAAGGUGUGGGGAGCAAACAGGAUUAGAGACCCUGGUAGUCCACACAGUGAACAUUGAAGAUUAUGCUCGGCAACCCCGAAAGGUAAAAUCUUCCGCCUGAGUAGUACGAUCGCAAGAUUAAAAUUCAAAAACUUUGGCUGUUCACUACUUCGAUUAGAGGAGCGUGUAGUUUAAUUCGAUGGUCCGCGCGAAACCUUACCCUAACUUGAAUCUGUGACCGGUAUUGCAUGGCCGUCGUAAGUCCGUGUGUUAAGCUAAAAGGGACCCAACCCCGAUUUGGGAGGAAGUCAGGUCUUAUGAUCCGAAUGUUAGGGGAUAAUAUGCGCUACAUUUUCUUAUACAAUGGGAAACAAAAAAAAGUGAAACCCCAAAGUAAGAGCUCGGAAGGUCGCUGUAAAUCGACCGGAAGUUGGAUUUAAUAGUAAUUGGAUAGUAGAGCGUUCCGGUGAAAUGGUACAAGUGUUAGCACAAAUUGCCCGUCACCUUUACCUAGAAUGGUUGUUCGGACGCCUUAGGUGGUUACGAGCGCCUACGAGGUAAAGCAA